GCUUGGUGAAAGGCCCAUUGUUUUCGAUGCAAGUCUGAAUGAACCUCUUGGGGGCGUAGGAGCCAAAAAAUAUCUAAGCGAGUAAAAUUACAACAAGUUCUUCUGACACGCAUCGGAGAGCAGGGUAGGCUUUUCCAGAGGACAGACAAUAUGCCUGUAAUUUCUCAGAAGCACGAAUGUUUAAGGUAAUACUUCAAUUUCCUAUAUAUUAAUAAGCGUUACCGUACAUCCAUUGCUCAUAAUAGCGCACGUUUUUAUCUACACGGUACAGCGGAAGCGGGGCCCACCCAGUUUUAGUGAAAACUAAAAAAAACUUACCUGACGCCAUUAACGCGCCGACAAGUAGCGUCCACAGCAUUUUUAGUCCCAUUUGUACGACUCAAAACGUACAGUAACGAAUCAAAACACUCAACGCUCAACAAAAACUUGUGGGAAAAUGCAUGUUAAGAUUAAACAAAGUAUUCCUUCUCAGCCAGGUAGCGACAUCUCCAUUUUGUCCUUGACACUCGAUACCAGCCCGGCCGGGGAGUUACCUGAACGCCUCACAUCAACAGUCACAUCUUACAGAAGGCGUGGAGCAGGUAUCAAGACAGACAGGCACGUAGACAGAGACGUCGCAUUUGCUAAGCUGACCCCUGCUGUCAAAAGUACUAUCAUCGCGGGCAUGUGUGAAGGCCUGCUCCAUCUGCACUCCAAAGAUAUUGUCCAUCAAGACCUAAAACCAGACAACAUCAUGGUUGAACGCAAUACAAACAGAGCCGUCAUCAUUGACCUGGGCCUGGCCAAGUUCUUCAAAAACGGCCUCAACUCGGCAGCGGACAUGGGAAAUUUGGCGUACUCCGCUCCCGAGGUGCUACAGAGCGGCAGCCAGCGAGACCAGUGCUCAGACGUCUGGGCCAUGGGGAAAAUAAUAGCAGAACUACAUAUCGAGAGCCGCCUGCCCACACAUGCAGUUUCUAGAAAAUUGAUUAUUAAGGAAAUGAUGGACUUCCCAUAUCUGUAUAGUGAAAUUGUAUGCAGUAUGGUGGAGCCGGACCCUGCUAAAAGAGGCUGCAUGGCUGGAGUUAUCAGCGAUGUUAGACAAGUGCAUGGCAGAGGUAGAGAACAUGGGCCAGAGUCGGCUGCUUUUGGAGACACGCAAUGCCACGUGUUGUGACUCGACGUGCACGCGACCGAGGACUCGUCAGUUUGUGCGGGGCGGUGACUUGGAACUAGUGUCUGUACAGAGUCACCAUUCAUUGUUAAUAUUGUGGUGAAUCAAAGAUAUUAAAUCAAACACGUGGUCAUAGUAAAACGUUGGAACGAAUGGCAGUUCUGGCAGCCAUGUUGUGACUGGCCCUUCUAACCCAGUGCAGUGUAAUCAAAUGGAAACUCCACUUAUUUGUUUGAUACUGUUUUGAUCUAUUUUUAGUUCAUUCAUGACACUUUGAUUAUGGUGACUGACCUUAUGUCAUAUCUGGCAAGAAAAUAACGCUUUUACAGUUAUUCAAAUGUUAUUUCAGUUUUCAAAUCUUUCACUUCUAUGAUUUUAAAUCCAGAUUUUGUUUUGUAUUGGUGUCAAGUGUUUUCUGGCUACACAGGGUCCACACUAGAAAGGACCUCUACCCCGAAGACUCGCUGGAUUUCACUCAAAUAAACAGGCCGGAAAUUGUCUUUGUCCCAUUUAUUUCAGCCUUAGUCAGUCAGGUGAAAACACCAUUGUAAGUAUUUACAAAGAAUAAAAUACAAUAAAUAACAGUAGUAAUUGUAAGUACACAAUAGAUUUUUAGCAGAUAUCCAAUCAAUUUAUUUUUAAC
RNAcentral lists this long non-coding RNA (1796 nucleotides) under Neogobius melanostomus (round goby). RNAcentral's name for it is "lncRNA (ENSNMLG00000002983.1)". The record is from RNAcentral. Lineage: Eukaryota; Metazoa; Chordata; Actinopteri; Gobiiformes; Gobiidae.